CAGCAGCCGCGGUAAUACGGAGGGGGCUAGCGUUGUUCGGAAUUACUGGGCGUAAAGCGCACGUAGGCGGCUUGGUAAGUUAGAGGUGAAAGCCCGGAGCUCAACUCCGGAAUUGCCUUUAAGACUGCCGAGCUAGCAGGUGAGAGAGGUAAGUGGAAUUCCGAGUGUAGAGGUGAAAUUCGUAGAUAUUCGGAAGAACACCAGUGGCGAAGGCGGCUUACUGGCUCAUACUGGACGCUGAGGUGCGAAAGCGUGGGGAGCAAACAGGAUUAGAUACCCCAGUAGUCCCUGUCUCUUAUAA
RNAcentral lists this ribosomal RNA (301 nucleotides) under uncultured bacterium. RNAcentral describes it as "partial 16S ribosomal RNA". It matches the Rfam family "Bacterial small subunit ribosomal RNA", at positions 509 to 809 of the family's 1533-position model. The record is from RNAcentral.